RNAcentral lists this non-coding RNA (103 nucleotides) under Oryza sativa (Asian cultivated rice). Its record names the gene osa-MIR815c. The record is from miRBase by way of RNAcentral. RNAcentral also lists the same sequence under 1 other name. Lineage: Eukaryota; Viridiplantae; Streptophyta; Magnoliopsida; Poales; Poaceae.
CUUCUCCUCUCUUCUCUCCUCCACCUCAGCAUUUAGCCGGCUUAUAGCCUAUACUUCCUCUAAGGGUGUGUUUGAGGAGAAGGGGAUUGAGGAGAUUGGGAAG